This 160-nucleotide ribosomal RNA is filed under the name uncultured bacterium. Its description in RNAcentral is "partial 16S ribosomal RNA". It matches the Rfam family "Bacterial small subunit ribosomal RNA", at positions 1342 to 1500 of the family's 1533-position model. The record is from RNAcentral.
UGGCAGGUCAGCAUACUGCCGUGAAUACGUUCCCGGGCCUUGUACACACCGCCCGUCACACCAUGAGAGUUGGGGAUACCCGAAGCCUGUGAGCCAACUUCUUAAGAGGCAGCAGUCGAAGGUAGAAUCAAUGAUUGGGGUGAAGUCGUAACAAGGUACC